AAAUACUUCCUCAGACCUGGUGUCAACCAUCGGACUCCAGCAGGCUGCAGCCUGAAAGGAGGAGGGGGGUCAGAGCAGCACGUUCUCUUUCAGCAUGCAAACAUGGACAUGACAUCACUCUAGAAAAAGCAGCUCUGAUCCUCAUCACACUGAAGUGCUUUGCUGCUCCUCUGCAACACAACUGUC
Thunnus maccoyii (southern bluefin tuna) is the source of this 186-nucleotide long non-coding RNA. RefSeq lists it as uncharacterized. The transcript is spliced from 3 exons. The record is from RefSeq and is a predicted model, not a curated record. NCBI's taxonomy places the organism in Eukaryota, Metazoa, Chordata, Actinopteri, Scombriformes, Scombridae.